RNAcentral lists this ribosomal RNA (2205 nucleotides) under Rhodococcus sp. 14-2483-1-2. Its description in RNAcentral is "bacterial LSU rRNA". It matches the Rfam family "Bacterial large subunit ribosomal RNA", at positions 720 to 2925 of the family's 2925-position model. The record is from RNAcentral. Lineage: Bacteria; Bacillati; Actinomycetota; Actinomycetes; Mycobacteriales; Nocardiaceae.
ACCAGGUGAUCUACCCAUGUCCAGGGUGAAGUUCAGGUAACACUGAAUGGAGGCCCGAACCCACGCACGUUGAAAAGUGCGGGGAUGAGGUGUGGGUAGCGGAGAAAUUCCAAUCGAACCUGGAGAUAGCUGGUUCUCCCCGAAAUAGCUUUAGGGCUAGCCUUAAGUGUAAGAGUCUUGGAGGUAGAGCACUGAUUGGACUAGGGGUCCUCAUCGGAUUACCGAAUUCAGUCAAACUCCGAAUGCCAAUGACUUAUCCUUAGGAGUCAGACUGCGAGUGAUAAGAUCCGUAGUCAAAAGGGAAACAGCCCAGACCGCCAGCUAAGGUCCCAAAGUGUGUAUUAAGUGGAAAAGGAUGUGGAGUUGCUUAGACAACUAGGAUGUUGGCUUAGAAGCAGCCACCAUUUAAAGAGUGCGUAAUAGCUCACUAGUCGAGUGACUCUGCGCCGAAAAUGUACCGGGGCUAAAUACACCACCGAAGCUGCGGAUUGAUACCGAAUGGUAUCAGUGGUAGGGGAGCGUUCUAAGGACAGUGAAGUCAGACCGGAAGGACUGGUGGAGUGCUUAGAAGUGAGAAUGCCGGUAUGAGUAGCGAAAGACGGGUGAGAAUCCCGUCCACCGAAUGCCUAAGGUUUCCUGAGGAAGGCUCGUCCGCUCAGGGUUAGUCAGGACCUAAGCCGAGGCCGACAGGCGUAGGCGAUGGACAACAGGUUGAUAUUCCUGUACCACCUCUUUAUCGUUUGAGCAAUGGAGGGACGCAGAAGGAUAGAAGAAGCGUGCGAUUGGUUGUGCACGUCCAAGCAGUUAGGCUGAUAAGUAGGCAAAUCCGCUUAUCGUAAAGGCUGAGCUGUGAUGGGGAAGCUCCUUAUGGAGCGAAGUCUUUGAUUCCCCGCUGCCAAGAAAAGCUUCUAGCGAGAUAAAAGGUGCCUGUACCGCAAACCGACACAGGUAGGCGAGGAGAGAAUCCUAAGGUGUGCGAGAGAACUCUGGUUAAGGAACUCGGCAAAAUGACCCCGUAACUUCGGGAGAAGGGGUGCUUUCUUAACGGAAAGCCGCAGUGAAUAGGCCCAAGCGACUGUUUAGCAAAAACACAGCUCUCUGCGAAGCCGUAAGGCGAAGUAUAGGGGGUGACACCUGCCCGGUGCUGGAAGGUUAAGGAGAGGGGUUAGCGUAAGCGAAGCUCUGAACUGAAGCCCCAGUAAACGGCGGCCGUAACUAUAACGGUCCUAAGGUAGCGAAAUUCCUUGUCGGGUAAGUUCCGACCCGCACGAAAGGUGUAACGAUUUGGGCACUGUCUCAACCAGAGACUCGGUGAAAUUAUAGUACCUGUGAAGAUGCAGGUUACCCGCGACAGGACGGAAAGACCCCGUGGAGCUUUACUGUAGCCUGAUAUUGAAUUUUGGUACAGUUUGUACAGGAUAGGCGGGAGCCUUUGAAACCGGAGCGCUAGCUUCGGUGGAGGCGCUGGUGGGAUACCGCCCUGACUGUAUUGAAAUUCUAACCUACGGGUCUUAUCGACCCGGGAGACAGUGUCAGGUGGGCAGUUUGACUGGGGCGGUCGCCUCCUAAAGUGUAACGGAGGCGCCCAAAGGUUCCCUCAGAAUGGUUGGAAAUCAUUCGUAGAGUGCAAAGGCAUAAGGGAGCUUGACUGCGAGACCUACAAGUCGAGCAGGGACGAAAGUCGGGCUUAGUGAUCCGGUGGUUCCGCAUGGAAGGGCCAUCGCUCAACGGAUAAAAGCUACCCCGGGGAUAACAGGCUUAUCUCCCCCAAGAGUCCACAUCGACGGGGAGGUUUGGCACCUCGAUGUCGGCUCAUCGCAUCCUGGGGCUGUAGUCGGUCCCAAGGGUUGGGCUGUUCGCCCAUUAAAGCGGUACGCGAGCUGGGUUCAGAACGUCGUGAGACAGUUCGGUCCCUAUCCGUCGUGGGCGUAGGAAAUUUGAGAGGAGCUGUCCUUAGUACGAGAGGACCGGGAUGGACGCACCGCUGGUGUACCAGUUGUUCUGCCAAGGGCAUAGCUGGGUAGCUAUGUGCGGAAGGGAUAAGUGCUGAAAGCAUCUAAGCAUGAAGCCCCCCUCAAGAUGAGAUUUCCCAUAGCGUAAGCUAGUAAGAUCCCUGAAAGAUGAUCAGGUUGAUAGGUUCGAGGUGGAAGCAUGGUGACAUGUGGAGCUGACGAAUACUAAUAGAUCGAGGACUUAACCAUAUAA